This 497-nucleotide ribosomal RNA is filed under the name uncultured bacterium. RNAcentral describes it as "partial 16S ribosomal RNA". It matches the Rfam family "Bacterial small subunit ribosomal RNA", at positions 28 to 507 of the family's 1533-position model. The record is from RNAcentral.
GAUGAACGCUGGCGGCGUGCCUAAUACAUGCAAGUCGAGCGAACGGACGAGAAGCUUGCUUCUCUGAUGUUAGCGGCGGACGGGUGAGUAACACGUGGAUAACCUACCUAUAAGACUGGGAUAACUUCGGGAAACCGGAGCUAAUACCGGAUAGUAUUUUGAACCGCAUGGUUCAAAAGUGAAAGACGGUCUUGCUGUCACUUAUAGAUGGAUCCGCGCUGCAUUAGCUAGUUGGUAAGGUAACGGCUUACCAAGGCAACGAUGCAUAGCCGACCUGAGAGGGUGAUCGGCCACACUGGAACUGAGACACGGUCCAGACUCCUACGGGAGGCAGCAGUAGGGAAUCUUCCGCAAUGGGCGAAAGCCUGACGGAGCAACGCCGCGUGAGUGAUGAAGGUCUUCGGAUCGUAAAACUCUGUUAUUAGGGAAGAACAUAUGUGUAAGUAACUGUGCACAUCUUGACGGUACUUAAUCAGAAAGCCACGGCUAACUACGUG